UUGAACGCUAGCGGGAUGCUUUACACAUGCAAGUCGAACGGCAGCGCGGACUUCGGUCUGGCGGCGAGUGGCGAACGGGUGAGUAAUGUAUCGGAACGUGCCCAGUAGCGGGGGAUAACUACGCGAAAGCGUAGCUAAUACCGCAUACGCCCUACGGGGGAAAGCAGGGGAUCGUAAGACCUUGCACUAUUGGAGCGGCCGAUAUCGGAUUAGCUAGUUGGUGAGGUAACGGCUCACCAAGGCGACGAUCCGUAGCUGGUUUGAGAGGACGACCAGCCACACUGGAACUGAGACACGGCCCAGACUCCUACGGGAGGCAGCAGUGGGGAAUUUUGGACAAUGGGGGCAACCCUGAUCCAGCCAUCCCGCGUGUGCGAUGAAGGCCUUCGGGUUGUAAAGCACUUUUGGCAGGAAAGAAACGUCGCGGGCUAAUACCCCGUGGAACUGACGGUACCUGCAGAAUAAGCACCGGCUAACUACGUG
This 483-nucleotide ribosomal RNA is filed under the name uncultured bacterium. Its description in RNAcentral is "partial 16S ribosomal RNA". It matches the Rfam family "Bacterial small subunit ribosomal RNA", at positions 30 to 507 of the family's 1533-position model. The record is from RNAcentral.